RNA transcript from Canis lupus familiaris (dog), 2292 nucleotides. It is a transcript of the gene named intraflagellar transport 74, with no coding region annotated. The transcript has 20 exons. The record is from RefSeq and is a predicted model, not a curated record. Lineage: Eukaryota; Metazoa; Chordata; Mammalia; Carnivora; Canidae.
UCAGUGGUUAGGUCUGAGAGCCCUGGAAAGCUGCGCGAGGGUGAGCGCGAGGGUGAGCGAGGAGUCGCGAGUGAGCCAACCGGUACGAGACAGGCUGGUGGGCUCCGCCGAGGCGCCCGCCUCGGAAAGAAGUUGGAGCCCUUCCCCGACCUCGCGACCUCGCGACCUCCCUCCUGACGCGACGGAGGAGUGGUUAAAGUGUACAAACAAUGGCCAGUAAUCACAAGCCUUCAGCAGCUCGCCCUGUUUCGCGAGGUGGAAUUGGGUUACCUGGAAGACCUCCUUCUGGAAUACGACCCCCGUCAGGAAAUACUCGAGUGGCAACUGGAUUGCCACCUGGAACAGCAAGACCAGGCUCUCGUGGUGGUCCCAUAGGGACAGGAGGUGUUCUGUCUUCUCAAAUCAAAGUUGCUGAUCGUCCUGUAACACAGCAAGGUUUGAGUGGAAUGAAAACUGGAAUGAAAGGUCCUCAGAGGCAAAUUUUAGACAAAUCUUAUUAUCUUGGGCUUCUUCGAAGUAAAAUAAGUGAACUUACAAUGGAAAUUAAUAAACUUCAGAAAGAAAUAGAAAUGUACAAUCAAGAGAAUUCAGUAUAUUUGUCAUAUGAAAAGAGAGCUGAGACUUUAGCUGUUGAAAUCAAAGAGUUUCAAGGACAACUAGCAGACUACAACAUGUUGGUAGAUAAACUUAAUACCAAUACUGAAAUGGAAGAAGUGAUGAAUGAUUACAACAUGCUUAAAGCUCAAAAUGAUCGAGAAACACAAAGUAUGGAUAUCAUAUUUACUGAAAGACAAGCGAAGGAAAAACAAAUUAGAAGUGUAGAAGAAGAAGUUGAACAGGAAAAGCAAGCAGCAGAUGGCAUUAUCAAAAACAUGUCUCCUGAAAAACAAGUCAAGUAUAUAGAAAUGAAAACCACAAAUGAGAAAUUGUUGCAGGAGUUAGACACACUUCAACAACAAUUAGAUUCACUGAACAUGAAAAAAGAGAGCUUGGAAGCUGAAAUAGCACACUCCCAGGUAAAACAGGAGGCUGUAUUGCUGCAUGAGAAACUUUAUGAGUUGGAGUCCCAUCGAGACCAAAUGAUUGCUGAAGACAAAAGCAUGGGAUCUCCAAUGGAAGAGAGAGAGAGAUUACUUAAGCAGGUUAAAGAAGAUAAUCAGGAAAUAGCCAGCAUGGAGCGACAGUUAACAGAUAUAAAAGAAAAAAUAAAUCAAUUUAGUGAAGAAAUUAGACAACUAGACAUGGAUUUAGAAGAACACCAAGGUGAAAUGAAUCAGAAGUAUAAGGAACUUAAAAAACGAGAGGAAAAUAUGGACACUUUUAUUGAGACUUUUGAGGAAACUAAGAAUCAGGAACUGGAAAGAAAGGCACAGAUAGAAGCCAACAUAGUUGCACUUUUGGAACACUGUAGUAGAAAUAUAAAUCGUAUGAAACAGAUCUCUUCUAUCACCAAUCAAGAGUUAAAUCAGUGGAAUUUUUUCCAUUUUUAUUUCUUUACAAAUACAGAAUAUAAAUCGUAUGAAACAGAUCUCUUCUAUCACCAAUCAAGAGCUGAAGAUGAUGCAGGAUGAUCUCAAUUUUAAAUCUACUGAAAUGCAGAAAUCACAAAGUACGGCUAGGAAUUUGACUUCAGAUAGUCAACGUCUACAGUUGGAUCUACAGAAAAUGGAACUUCUGGAAAGUAAGAUGACUGAGGAACAGCAUUCUCUGAAAAACAAAAUUAAGCAAAUGACAACUGACCUGGAGACAUACAAUGAUUUGCCAGCUUUAAAAUCAGCAGGUGAAGAAAAGAAAAAGAAAUUACAUCAGGAGAGAACAGUAUUAACAACCCGCAGAAAUGCCUUUAAGAAAAUAACAGAGAAGCUAAACAUAGAAUAUGAGACAUUAAAAACACAGUUGCAAGAAAAUGAGACACAUUCUCAGCUUACAAAUUUGGAGAGGAAGUGGCAACACCAUGAGCAAAAUAAUUUUGUGAUGAAAGAAUUCAUAGCAACCAAGAGUCAAGAGAGUGAUUACCAGUCAAUUAUGAAGAAUGUGACCAAGCAGAUUGCAGAAUACAAUAAAAGCAUUGUGGACGCUCUACAUAGCAUGAGCAGAAACUGAGUCUGAACCAACUGCAAGUCUCUAUAAUAGUAUGCUUUCUGCUAAACUGUAUGUUGACUGAAAAAGAAUCUCAUACCCUUGAAGAGUUUUACCUAAAAUUUUUAACUACUAUAAUUUUUGUGACCUCUUUGAAGAGGUAUACUACUUUAAACAGCAUAAUAGUUCAAUAAAAAGUUUGCAUACAGAAAA